Non-coding RNA from Podarcis lilfordi (Lilford's wall lizard), 73 nucleotides. NCBI's taxonomy places the organism in Eukaryota, Metazoa, Chordata, Lepidosauria, Squamata, Lacertidae. The record is from the annotation of a GenBank genome assembly.
GCUGGGAUAGCUCAGUCAGCAGAGCACGAGACUCUGAAUUUCAGAGCCGUAGGUUCGAGCCCCAGAUUGGGCA